UACGUAGGGGGCGAGCGUUGUCCGGAUUUAUUGGGCGUAAAGAGCUCGUAGGCGGUUUGGUAAGUCGGGUGUGAAAUCUCCACGCUCAACGUGGAGGGGCCACUCGAUACUGCCAUGACUCGAGUCCGGUAGAGGAGUGUGGAAUUCCCGGUGUAGCGGUGAAAUGCGCAGAUAUCGGGAGGAACACCCGUAGCGAAGGCGGCACUCUGGGCCGGAACUGACGCUGAGGAGCGAAAGCCAGGGGAGCAAACAGG
This 254-nucleotide ribosomal RNA is filed under the name uncultured bacterium. RNAcentral's name for it is "partial 16S ribosomal RNA". It matches the Rfam family "Bacterial small subunit ribosomal RNA", at positions 524 to 776 of the family's 1533-position model. The record is from RNAcentral.